UAAAAAGUUCAACUUUAUAGUGAAACUGCGAACGGCUCAUUAGAGCAGAUAUAAUAUACCCGAGAUAUCUUUAGUGGAUAACUGCGGUAAAUCUGGAGCUAAUACAUGUCACAAAAGCUAGGCUCGCUUAGCUGCAGGUAUUAGUGCAAACCAAUCGUUUUCGGACGUAGUUUGCUGACUCUGAAUACCCAGUAUAUCGACGGUUUAUCCGUCGAAAGCUCGGAAUAGUGUCUGCCCUAUCAACUAGAUGGUAGUCUAUUAGACUACCAUGGUGAUAACGGGUAACGGAGAAUAAGGGUUCGGCUCCGGAGAGGGAGCCUUAGAAACGGCUACCACAUCCAAGGAAGGCAGCAGGCGCGUAACUUAUCCACUACCACAGUGAGAUAGUGACUAAAAAUAAAAAGUCCAAUCCUAACGGAUCGGAUAUUUCAAUGAAUUGAGCUUAAAUAGCUCUAUGAGGACCUAAUGGAGGGCAAGUCUGGUGCCAG
Molecule: ribosomal RNA, 488 nt
Filed under: Nematoda environmental sample
Lineage: Eukaryota; Metazoa; Nematoda
Description: SSU rRNA
Rfam family: Eukaryotic small subunit ribosomal RNA
Source: RNAcentral